GAGCGGCGGACGGGUGAGUAACACUUAGGAAUCUACCUAGUAGUGGGGGAUAGCUCGGGGAAACUCGAAUUAAUACCGCAUACGACCUACGGGAGAAAGGGGGCAGUUUACUGCUCUCGCUAUUAGAUGAGCCUAAGUCGGAUUAGCUAGAUGGUGGGGUAAAGGCCUACCAUGGCGACGAUCUGUAGCUGGUCUGAGAGGAUGAUCAGCCACACCGGGACUGAGACACGGCCCGGACUCCUACGGGAGGCAGCAGUGGGGAAUAUUGGACAAUGGGGGAAACCCUGAUCCAGCCAUGCCGCGUGUGUGAAGAAGGCCUUUUGGUUGUAAAGCACUUUAAGCAGUGAAGAAGACCAUAUGGUUAAUACCCAUAUGCGAUGACAUUAGCUGCAGAAUAAGCACCGGCUAACUCUGUGCCAGCAGCCGCGGUAAUACAGAGGGUGCAAGCGUUAAUCGGAAUUACUGGGCGUAAAGCGAGCGUAGGUGGCUUGAUAAGUCAGAUGUGAAAUCCCCGGGCUUAACCUGGGAACUGCAUCUGAUACUGUUAAGCUAGAGUAGGUGAGAGGGAAGUAGAAUUCCAGGUGUAGCGGUGAAAUGCGUAGAGAUCUGGAGGAAUACCGAUGGCGAAGGCAGCUUCCUGGCAUCAUACUGACACUGAGGCUCGAAAGCGUGGGUAGCAAACAGGAUUAGAUACCCUGGUAGUCCACGCCGUAAACGAUGUCUACUAGUCGUUGGGUCCCUUGAGGACUUAGUGACGCAGCUAACGCAAUAAGUAGACCGCCUGGGGAGUACGGCCGCAAGGUUAAAACUCAAAUGAAUUGACGGGGGCCCGCACAAGCGGUGGAGCAU
This 849-nucleotide ribosomal RNA is filed under the name Psychrobacter celer. Its description in RNAcentral is "bacterial SSU rRNA". It matches the Rfam family "Bacterial small subunit ribosomal RNA", at positions 93 to 940 of the family's 1533-position model. The record is from RNAcentral. Lineage: Bacteria; Pseudomonadati; Pseudomonadota; Gammaproteobacteria; Moraxellales; Moraxellaceae.